This 426-nucleotide unclassified non-coding RNA is filed under the name fungal sp. RNAcentral describes it as "partial internal transcribed spacer region". The stretch from base 1 to 46 matches the Rfam family "Eukaryotic small subunit ribosomal RNA", at positions 1786 to 1831 of the family's 1831-position model. The record is from RNAcentral. Lineage: Eukaryota; Fungi.
AAGUCGUAACAAGGUUUCCGUAGGUGAACCUGCGGAAGGAUCAUUAACACGUAUCCAAACGUUAAAACCCCCCCCCGUGAACCUUCAUCCUGCUCUUGUAACCCGCGAAGCUUGCAAUCUCUGGUAAAUCAUAGCCCGGAAAGUAGUUUGAUUCAGAGACCUCUGGCCCGUGCGAACCAAGAUAUCCAUUGUUAACAGUUGUUCGGUUUUUUUACCCAAUGUAUUACAUUGAGCUUCACAUUAAACUGUGGGGUUAUAAGGGGGCAUGGGGACCCUUUGGCAUAGCUCCUGCCCGAGUGUACGGUCUGCAGGAAUCGUGAAGCGCUAUCCUUGCACAAUCAAUGACACUUUCAGACACUGACUGCUUGGGGAAACAAUGCCUAUAGAACUACCGCAGUCGAUUGUAACUGUUCCAAUAUGGUUCUC